Molecule: ribosomal RNA, 497 nt
Filed under: uncultured bacterium
Lineage: Bacteria
Description: partial 16S ribosomal RNA
Rfam family: Bacterial small subunit ribosomal RNA
Source: RNAcentral
GACGAACGCUGGCCGCGUGCCUAAUACAUGCAAGUUGAGCGCUGAAGGUUGGUACUUGUACCAACUGGAUGAGCAGCGAACGGGUGAGUAACGCGUGGGUAAUCUGCCUUUGAGCGGGGGACAACAUUUGGAAACGAAUGCUAAUACCGCAUAAAAACUUUAAACACAAGUUUUAAGUUUGAAAGAUGCAAUUGCAUCACUCAAAGAUGAUCCCGCGUUGUAUUAGCUAGUUGGUGAGGUAAAGGCUCACCAAGGCGAUGAUACAUAGCCGACCUGAGAGGGUGAUCGGCCACAUUGGGACUGAGAAACGGCCCAAACUCCUAAGGGGAGCAGCAGUAGGGGAUCUUCGGCAAUGGACGAAAGGCUGGACGAGCAAAGCCGCGUGAGGGAAGAAAGUUCUCGGAUCGUAAAACUCUGUUGGUAGAGAAGAAAGUUGGUGGGAGUGGAAAGCUCAUCAAGUGACGGUAACUAACCAGAAAGGGACGGCUAACUACGUG